This 253-nucleotide ribosomal RNA is filed under the name uncultured bacterium. Its description in RNAcentral is "partial 16S ribosomal RNA". It matches the Rfam family "Bacterial small subunit ribosomal RNA", at positions 524 to 776 of the family's 1533-position model. The record is from RNAcentral.
UACGUAGGGUGCGAGCGUUAAUCGGAAUUAUUGGGCGUAAAGGGUGCGCAGGCUGUGCUGUAAGUCAGAUGUGAAAUCCCCGGGCUUAACCUGGGAAUUGCGUUUGAAACUGCAGUGCUAGAGUGUGAUAGAGGAGAGUGGAAUUCCAUGUGUAGCAGUGAAAUGCGUAGAGAUGUGGAAGAACACCAAUGGCGAAGGCAGCUCUCUGGAUUAACACUGACGCUCAUGCACGAAAGCGUGGGGAGCAAACAGG